Ipomoea nil (Japanese morning glory) is the source of this 415-nucleotide long non-coding RNA. RefSeq lists it as uncharacterized. NCBI's taxonomy places the organism in Eukaryota, Viridiplantae, Streptophyta, Magnoliopsida, Solanales, Convolvulaceae. The record is from RefSeq and is a predicted model, not a curated record. The transcript is spliced from 2 exons.
UCUCCCCUAGUUCCCUCAGCCUUUGCCUUCCACCUCCAAGCCCCUCUCCUCUCUCUCUCUCUCUCUGAGUUGCUCAACUCAGCUCAGUUCUACCCAGGGACUCUAGUCUCUAGUGUUUAUUCCAGGGAGAGAGAGAGAAGCACAUUAUCAUACCUGUAAGAUGGAUUACACUUUUGUGUUUGUGGUUGCUAGUCUGCUGAUCUUUUCUUGCUCGAUGCCGGCAGUGAAUGCCCAAAAAAGCAUUUCUCUGUCUCCGGCGCCAGCCCCGGCCCCAGACUUUGUGAACCUAACAGAUUUGCUAUCUGUUGCUGGACCUUUCCACACUUUCCUUAACUACAUUGAGACCACCAAAGUUGUGGAAACUUUCCAAAACCAAGCCAACGAUACUGAAGAAGGGCUUACUCUCUUUGUGCCC